This 73-nucleotide transfer RNA is filed under the name Schistocerca americana (American grasshopper). RNAcentral's name for it is "tRNA-Ala". It matches the Rfam family "tRNA". From Rfam's summary of the family: Transfer RNA (tRNA) molecules are approximately 80 nucleotides in length. RNAcentral also lists the same sequence under 1 other name. Lineage: Eukaryota; Metazoa; Arthropoda; Insecta; Orthoptera; Acrididae. The record is from RNAcentral.
GUCCGGGUCGCUUAGUGGUCAGAGCAUCUGCCUAGCAAGCAGGAGACCCAGAUUCGAAUCCCGGCCCGGCACA